AUACUCACGAAGAUAUAUGUAUAACUAAAAUUGGAACAUAAAGAGAAGAUUAGCAUGACCCCAGCACAAGGAUGACACGCAAAAUCGUGAAGUGUUCCACAUUUUU
RNAcentral lists this small nuclear RNA (106 nucleotides) under Clunio marinus. Lineage: Eukaryota; Metazoa; Arthropoda; Insecta; Diptera; Chironomidae. The record is from RNAcentral.